UGUGGGAGCUGGCUUGCCUGCGAUGCAAGCACCUCGGUGUAACAGGUAAAGCGAGGUGAUUCUAUCGCAGGCAAGCCAGCUCCCACA
RNAcentral lists this unclassified non-coding RNA (87 nucleotides) under Pseudomonas yamanorum. The record is from RNAcentral. Lineage: Bacteria; Pseudomonadati; Pseudomonadota; Gammaproteobacteria; Pseudomonadales; Pseudomonadaceae.